RNAcentral lists this ribosomal RNA (161 nucleotides) under uncultured bacterium. Its description in RNAcentral is "partial 16S ribosomal RNA". It matches the Rfam family "Bacterial small subunit ribosomal RNA", at positions 355 to 507 of the family's 1533-position model. The record is from RNAcentral.
UGGGGAAUAUUGGACAAUGGGCGAAAGCCUGAUCCAGCCAUGCCGCGUGUGUGAAGAAGGCCUUAUGGUUGUAAAGCACUUUAAGCGAGGAGGAGGCUCUUUUGGUUAAUACCCAAGAUGAGUGAGCGUUACUCGCAGAAUAAGCACCGGCUAACUCUGUG